Molecule: ribosomal RNA, 497 nt
Filed under: uncultured bacterium
Lineage: Bacteria
Description: partial 16S ribosomal RNA
Rfam family: Bacterial small subunit ribosomal RNA
Source: RNAcentral
GAUGAACGCUGGCGGCGUGCCUAAUACAUGCAAGUCGAGCGAACAGACGAGGAGCUUGCUCCUCUGACGUUAGCGGCGGACGGGUGAGUAACACGUGGAUAACCUACCUAUAAGACUGGGAUAACUUCGGGAAACCGGAGCUAAUACCGGAUAAUAUAUUGAACCGCAUGGUUCAAUAGUGAAAGACGGUUUUGCUGUCACUUAUAGAUGGAUCCGCGCCGCAUUAGCUAGUUGGUAAGGUAACGGCUUACCAAGGCAACGAUGCGUAGCCGACCUGAGAGGGUGAUCGGCCACACUGGAAGUGAGACAAGGUCCAGACUCCUACGGGGGGCAGCAGUAGGGAAUCUUCCGCAAUGGGCGAAAGCCUGACGGAGCAACGCCGCGUGAGUGAUGAAGGUCUUCGGAUCGUAAAACUCUGUUAUUAGGGAAGAACAAAUGUGUAAGUAACUAUGCACGUCUUGACGGUACCUAAUCAGAAAGCCACGGAUAACUACGUG